GCCAUUAGUAUAUUGGAAGGCAGUCAUAGGAACAGAAACUUCUAUCUAUCAUGUUGACUCUUUGGAAUUUCAGUGUCAUACAUUCUCUUAGCCUAAGCAGUAUUUUUACAUAACAUCUCGAGAGCUGCUUAUUGAAGUCCAGGAUGUUAACCAUGGACAUGAGGCUAAACAGCCUAGGAGCAAAGUGUCCUAAUUUAUUUGUAAAUGCUUUCAAAUGUUGUGGUAGAAGUGCUCCCUAAAGUUAGAAGAGGUUGGGGGCAGGGAGACAGGGCAGGUUGGGUUCUAUUUUGAGACCCGCAGAAGAGGAAGUGAGAUGAGUUUGGAAUGUUCUGUGCCCAGCUCCUCCUAUCACCUGCUGGGGAAAGCUGGAAAAGAGGAAAUGUCCCUGGUGAACCAGGAGUGACUGUCAAGGUGAAAACCUGCACAGGGGAAAGGACAUGGAAAUAAUGGCUCAUGGAGAGGAUUUGGUUUUUGCAAGUUUCCUGAAGAAAAGAAAAGAUAAAAUGAAAUUUUUGUGGGUGCAAUACUGGUUCCAACUUCAAAAUACUACCUUCUCUUUCUUUCUGAAGAAGGGUGGAGAUGCAGCUUGCCUCCGAGGACAAUACCACAUGCACACAGUGCAGGCUGUGAGGGAAUUUGGUACACUGAAUGGUGAUUACCUCUUUGAGAUUACAAUGAAAAAUGGGAAGAAGAAAAUUCUGGCUGCAGAGACUCCCAAACUUCGUGCUAUGUGGAUUGAAACUUUAUGGAAAUCCAUGCAGCUUAUCGGGCCAUACCUCAGCCAGGCUGCCUACGGAAGGAGUGACUUUCCAAGGCCAUCUGGAGAAGCGUUACCUGGGACUGCACUUGGUGAGGAAGAACUAAGCAAAAGCCAGUCAUCUGCCAAGGAGAACUUUCCCUCUCCAGCCAAGACCAUGAAUAGCUUAAUCCCAGAAGAGAUGUUGGAAAUCAGACCCUACCAUGCUGUGCCAAAUGCAGCCUUCAAUAUUUAUGAUGUCCCAAGAUCCUGGAGGAGCAACAGGCCAGCUGAAAAUAAUCUGGAUGGAAGAGACUAGUGCAAUCCCCUGCCCAUCGGUGGCCAACCUCAGCAUCACCUGAUUCUCCAGGCUGGAAAGACCUCUGACUCAAAUUCUGCACCACUCCCCUGCUCGCUCCCUUCCUGGAAGCUGGUCAGGGAAAGGAUUUGCCCAUUGGAGUGAUAAUUCUGGACUUCUGAGAAUGGUGGCGGUUAUUUCAGCCCAUUGUUAUUAAAGAGAGAACCCCUAUUUUCAUAGCAAUGGCUUCAUCUCAAAGGACCUGAUCUGCUUAUUAGCAACUCCCAAUGCCAAAGAGGUGUGGGGAACAGGUUUGUCAGAACCGGGGCUGGUUCUCCCACAGGACCUCACCCUGAAGCAGAGAGAUCUGCCCAAGUAAGAGGCAAGGCCCAGUGAAUCUGCAUCAAAUCUUCAGCCAGAACCCUAGACUUACUUCUAGAAAUGCUGGCAAAUAGCAGUAAGAGACAGAAAUUAAAGGCAUAGGCAAAGAGAGAACAAAAACUAUCCUGAUUGGCCAAUGACUUGAAGGUUUACUGAGAAAUGAGCAAAGAAGCUAAAUGAGCUAACAGCUUCCUCCGCCCAUUGAGAAGGCAAGAAACACAAUACCCAUUAUACAUAGGAAGUCAUGCAAAACAUAUUCCCAAAUUAGCCACGUUGCAGGCAAAAAGACAAGAAAAAUAAGUAAGGAAAAAAUAUGCUUCAAUCUGCACUUGUUGGUGCAUAGCAUUUUCCAUCAUGAAUCCUUUGGAAUUGUGAAUCAUUGUAUGGAUCAAAGUAGCUAAAUUUUUCACAGUUGAUCAUCGUUAUAAUAUUGCUAUUUCUGUGUACAAUAUUCUCUUGGUUCUGCUCCUUUCACUUUGCAUCAGUUCAUAUAAGUCAUCCCAGGUUUUUUUCUGAAAUCAAUCCCUGAUCAUUUCUUAUAGCACAAUAAUAUUCUGUCACAAUCACAUACUACAACUCAUUCAUUCAUUCAUUUUCCAAUUGAUGGGCAUCCCCUCAGUUUCCAGCUCUUUGCUGCCACAAAAAAAAAAAAAGCUGCUGUAAAGAUUUUUGUACAGAUAUAGUCUAGGAGUUCUUAACCUUGUGUUUUAUGGACUCCUUUGGCAGUUUGGUGAAACCUAUAGAUCCCUUCUCAAAAUAAAUGCUUUUCAAUGCAUAAAGGAAAUCA
Molecule: long non-coding RNA, 2202 nt
Organism: Vombatus ursinus (common wombat)
Lineage: Eukaryota; Metazoa; Chordata; Mammalia; Diprotodontia; Vombatidae
Source: Ensembl